CACCAGAAACACAGUACACACCAGAGGUUGGGGAGCUGGACCAUGCGCCAGGAGGACUUACACUUCCAAAUGCCUGAGGUUCUUCGAGAAACAUCCAUCCCGCCUCAGAUGAAGGACUCAAUGCGAUUUCUGAUGAUGAGCCAAUGCCAUUAUCCUCACUCCACAGAUAAGGAAACAGAGGCAUGGAGGGUUUUACCAUCAUCUCCAUAGCUAAAGCCAGGCAAUUAAAAACACAGUGUUCAGCAAAGAAAUGUCUCCCCAGCUCUAUUUUGGAGGGAGGGGAUCAAGAAAAGAUGGGUCUGAAAUAAAGCCCAAAGUAGGGGCACUGGGGAGGCCAUGGUCUGCAAAACACACGGAGGUUGCAGCCUCCCCAGACCCCAGGAGUUUGCUGGUUCUUGCCAAGAGUUCUGCUUCUCUAACCAAAGCCACGUGCUCGCUGCUGGCCCCAGACCUCCCGGCUGCAAACCCAUCUGAACGUAGCAUUAUACAACUGCCUUGUGCCCGUUCCCGUCUUCAGAAAUCGGGACAAAAUAAACCAUUCUGCUCUGCCUGUGAGAAGGGUCAGCCUGCACCUUCCUCAGCCAUUAGAAGCUGGAGUUGCCAUUCGACUUGUCAUCAGAGCUGCUCUAAUUUGAACUAAUGAGUGGGAAACAAUUGCUGAUUACAGGGCACUGCUAGGCUCCUAUCUGCCAGCGUGCAACCACAACAAAAACACAAUCUCCCCCCACCGCCCCAAACCUCGUAGGAUAAUAUUUCAUAGCAUUGCCAAAAUGGACUUCAGCCAUUUAUUUUGACAGCUGUAGUUUUAAUUAUUUAUGAUAAGAUUGUACAGUGUGCUGGUAAAGGCUGCAAGGCAUUUCAUUAAAAAAAAAAAAGAAAAAAAGAAGUCUUGCAGUGGGCUUGUCUCAGGGCUGUAAUAUACCAGGAGGGAGAAAUGGGGAAAGGCUGUACCAAAGGACCCAGACUAGCAAUCUUCUACAGACCACAAGGAAAAGCUCUUUCCUUUUGGACACCUCAGUAGUUAUCAUAAAGCUGAGUGUGUGGACAGUUCAAAACUUUUGAGGCAGGACGCAAAUUUACUCUUUUAUAAGAGCACAGACUUGUUGCAGGAGGGCGGGGACCUGUCAGCAGGAAAAUCAGUGUGCUCCAUCCCUCUGCAGUCAGUCCCACCCCACCCACUGGGCAGAAGAGCAUUCCCACCCUGCAGAGAACUCCAGAGUCUCAGUAUUCACUUUCUUGGGAAAUGAAGACAAAAGCCCCAAUUUUGACUGAAGAGAAAGCUACACAAAUGCGCACGCACAGGGAUUUAGAAAGACAAAAAAGCUUUUGGCCUUUCUGACUUCAUCCAUGUUGCUGAAAUGCCCUGCUGGCAUCACAGUUUGGCUAUAACGUGCCCUGGUGCUCCUCUGCUAGCCGCAACGCUUCGCUGCGGGGCUGCGGGGUCCACGAGACACCUCGUGGGUUAGAUAAACAUGCCUGAAAUUUGCAGGUUGGAUCAUUUUGACGUGACUUGGUUUUUCUCAGUCAAGAACAUCUGUAAAAAUCAUGUUGUUCCCAUGGAAAACUUUAAGCAUACAGAAUUGAAAAUUUCAUCAGAAGUGUAUUUAAUGGGAACGGCUUUUUUUCCUGGUGGUACUAGGCAGGCCUUAAAACGUGUGAACUUAAGGAGGUAAUUUAGCAUCUCUGCUGCAGCUCUUUAUUUUCUAAAGGAGAGAAACAGUAGCCCACCUUGUUAAAGCUCUUGGAGAUAGAUUGCUGGAGAACAUUAAAUAAAAGCUCACUGUUACCAUUAUAUGAGGGAGCAUUUGAGGUCUUGCCAUUCUCUUGUGAGGUUGCAUUUGCACCAUAACUGGUGCGUGAUUAAUCUGUGCCCAUCGCAAAGGUUGUCCCAGAACUACUGCAAUCAUUACUUUAGUACUAGUCUGAGGGGACCCAUCACUUCAGAGAUCAUUUUAAAGAGGAACAUGAAAUGAGCUGAGACUUAACACCUGCACAUCAAGAGAAGGUAGAUGUAAAAAAUAAAUCGGUAUCUCAGGCAGGGGGUCAGGCUAAUUACUUGUGGUUUCUGUUUGCUCGGGUGUGUUUCUAACACAGCAACUGGACUAGAUUUUGCCCUCGUUAAAAAUAAAAGCAAGUUAGUAUGCCUGAAUCUUUCAGACAGGAUUCAGGAGAGAUCCCUGCUCUGACAAGUGCCUUCUGCCAUGAUUUUCCUCGCAUGAGAUACCCUUUUGGAGCGAGAAACAGCUGUGCCAUACCCAUGCCGAAGGACAGCGGCUACGCUCAGCUCCGAGCUGACCAGACUUCAAUAGCUGGCUGAGCCAGCCCUGAACAGUGGGUGCCCAUCUCUGCUGACCUCCAUCUUCUGUGGUCAUUUACAGCAUUUUAAAGUCCCACCAGGUCAUUUCCAUGGUUGUA
Molecule: non-coding RNA, 2415 nt
Organism: Phalacrocorax carbo (great cormorant)
Lineage: Eukaryota; Metazoa; Chordata; Aves; Suliformes; Phalacrocoracidae
Source: RefSeq, a predicted model, not a curated record